Cyanistes caeruleus (blue tit) is the source of this 1644-nucleotide long non-coding RNA. Lineage: Eukaryota; Metazoa; Chordata; Aves; Passeriformes; Paridae. The record is from Ensembl.
GCGUGCUCGGGGCCACCAGUGCGGACCAGUUUAGGACAGUAAGAAGCAGAGUGACACCAGUAAGGACCAGUUUGGGACCAGUUUGGACCAGCACGGACCGGUUGGGACCAGUUUAGGACAGUAAGAACCAGUGUGACACCAGUUUGGGACCAGUUUCGACCACUUUGGACCAGUGUGGGACCAGUUCAGAACCAGUUUGGACCAGUAUGGACCAGUUUCGACCACUUUGGACCAGUGUGACACCAGUAUGGACCAGUUUGGACCAGUCUGGGACCAGCUUGGACCAGUUUGGGACCAGUAAGGACAAGUGUGGGACCAGUUUAGGACAGUAAGAACCAGUGUGACACCAGUUUGGCACCAGUUAGGACCAGUUUGGGACCAGUAUGGACCAGUUUGUGUUUGCCAAGCCCCCACCCCCCCCAGGGACCCCAAAGUGUCACCUCAGGGUGCUGUGACAAACCUGACAAAGCCCUCCCCCAGUGCCACCAGUGCCACACCAGUGUCACCAUCCCAGUGCCACCAGUGUCACCAUCCCAGUGUCACCAUCCCAGUGUCACCAUCCCAGUGUCACACCAGUGUCACCACUGUCACCAUCCCACUGUCACCAUCCCACUGUCACCAUCCCAGUGUCACCAUCCCAGUGCCACCAGUGUCACCAUCCCAGUGUCACCAUCCCAGUGUCACACCAGUGUCACCAUCCCACUGUCACCAUCCCACUGUCACCAUCCCAGUGUCACCAUCCCAGUGCCACCAGUGUCACCAUCCCAGUGUCACCAUCCCAGUGCCACAUCAGUGUCACCACUGUCACCAUCCCAGUGUCAGCACCCCAGUGCCACCAUCGCAGUGUCACCAUUGUCACCAUCCCAGUGUCAACAUCCCAGCGUCACACCAGUGUCACCAUUGUCACCAUCCCAGUGUCACCAUCACAGUGCCACCGGUGUCACCAUCCCAGUGUCAGCACCCCCAGUGUCACCAUCCCAGAGGCACCAGUGUCACCACCCUGGUGUCACCACCCCAGUGCCACCACCAAUGUCACCAUCAAUGUCACCAACAUCACACCAAUGUCACCAAUGUCCUUUACUGCUGUCCCUGCUCCCGCAGCCACCCCAGUGCCACCAUCAAUGUCACCAAUGCCACCAAUGUCACCUCAGUGCCACCAUCAAUGUCACCUCAGUGUCACCAAUGUCCUUUACUGCUGUCCCUGCUCCCGCAGCCACCCCAGUGCCACCACCAAUGUCACCAAUGUCACCAAUGUCACCUCAGUGUCACCAAUGUCCUUUACUGCUGUCCCUGCUCCCGCAGCCACCCCAGCGCCCUCAGCAGCGCCACCCCAGUGUCACCAUCAAUGUCACAUCAAUGUCACUCCAGUGCCACCAUCACUGUCACCUCAGUGUCACCAAUGUCCUUUACUGCUGUCCCUGCUCCGCAGCCACCCCAGCGCCCUCAGCAGUGCCACCCCAGUGUCACCAUCAAUGUCACCAAUGUCACCCCAGUGCCACCAUCAAUGUCACCAAUGUCACCAAUGUCACAUCAGUGUCACCCCAGUGCCACCAUCAGUGUCACCAAUGUCCUUUACUGCUGUCCCUGCUCCCGCAGCCACCCCAGCGCCCUCAGCAGCGCCACCCCAGUGGCCACCAUCAGUGU